Molecule: transfer RNA, 82 nt
Filed under: Erwinia phage Cronus
Lineage: Duplodnaviria; Heunggongvirae; Uroviricota; Caudoviricetes; Pantevenvirales; Straboviridae
Also listed under: 1 other name
Description: tRNA-Asn
Rfam family: tRNA
About the family: Transfer RNA (tRNA) molecules are approximately 80 nucleotides in length. Their secondary structure includes four short double-helical elements and three loops (D, anti-codon, and T loops).
Source: RNAcentral
UGGGGUGUAGCCAAACGGUUUGGCGGCGGACUGUUAAUCCGUGUCUAUGACAAUGUGGGUUCGAAUCCCUCCACCCCAGCCA